GUAGGUGGCAAGCGUUGUCCGGAAUUAUUGGGCGUAAAGCGCGCGCAGGCGGUUCUUUAAGUCUGAUGUGAAAGCCCACGGCUCAACCGUGGAGGGUCAUUGGAAACUGGAGAACUUGAGUACAGAAGAGGAAAGCGGAAUUCCACGUGUAGCGGUGAAAUGCGUAGAGAUGUGGAGGAACACCAGUGGCGAAGGCGGCUUUCUGGUCUGUAACUGACGCUGAGGCGCGAAAGCGUGGGGAGCAAACAGGAUUAGAUACCCUGGUAGUCCACGCCGUAAACGAUGAGUGCUAAGUGUUAGGGGGUUCCCGCCCCCCUUAGUGCUGCAGCUAACGCAUUAAGCACUCCGCCUGGGAGUACGGCCGCAAGGCUG
Molecule: ribosomal RNA, 372 nt
Filed under: uncultured organism
Description: partial 16S ribosomal RNA
Rfam family: Bacterial small subunit ribosomal RNA
Source: RNAcentral